RNAcentral lists this ribosomal RNA (450 nucleotides) under uncultured bacterium. Its description in RNAcentral is "partial 16S ribosomal RNA". It matches the Rfam family "Bacterial small subunit ribosomal RNA", at positions 354 to 796 of the family's 1533-position model. The record is from RNAcentral.
GUGGGGAAUUUUGGACAAUGGGCGCAAGCCUGAUCCAACAAUGCCGCGUGCAGGAAGAAGGCCUUCGGGUUGUAAACUGCUUUUGUACGGAACGAAAAGGCUCUGGCUAAUACCUGGAGCUCAUGACGGUACCGUAAGAAUAAGCACCGGCUAACUACGUGCCAGCAGCCGCGGUAAUACGUAGGGUGCGAGCGUUAAUCGGAAUUACUGGGCGUAAAGCGUGCGCAGGCGGUGCUGUAAGACAGGCGUGAAAUCCCCGGGCUCAACCUGGGAAUUGCGCUUGUGACUGCAGCGCUGGAGUGCGGCAGAGGGGGAUGGAAUUCCGCGUGUAGCAGUGAAAUGCGUAGAUAUGCGGAGGAACACCGAUGGCGAAGGCAAUCCCCUGGGCCUGCACUGACGCUCAUGCACGAAAGCGUGGGGAGCAAACAGGAUUAGAUACCCCAGUAGUCC